Molecule: long non-coding RNA, 894 nt
Filed under: Felis catus (domestic cat)
Lineage: Eukaryota; Metazoa; Chordata; Mammalia; Carnivora; Felidae
Description: lncRNA (ENSFCAG00000051892.1)
Source: RNAcentral
GAAAGCAUAGAAGAAAUGGGACGAGAAUUCCAAUCUAUUGCAAAGCAUUUUCCCUCUUCUUUCUACCAAACAUCAUGACUGAACCCCAACUUACUUACUUUUACCUCUGAGAUCUCAGGAGCUAAGACUGUAGGGGAGGCUGUGGGAAUUCCAGCAUGCACAGUGUGGUUUGAAAUCCACAGACAAGGGAGCAUGGCUUCCUUCCUUGGCCUGCUGCCCCACGCGCGGUGAGCAGAGCAGCCAAGCCAAAGUGGCAGCCGCAGUGUGGGAGCCCAGCUCUGCUGCCAUAAAUUAGCCAGGGGCAGGAAGGAGCAGUGAGAGUCAGCGGUUUCAGCUACCUAGUAGUUCAUUUUUGUUCUUGUUUUUCAGUUAGCAAUCUGUAAAAUUUAUUGCAAAAUUAAGCUCCCUGCUCCAGAGUCAAUAAUAUUCCUGGUGCCAGGUGGUGUAAUAAUUCACAAAAAGGGCAGGAGCUGGAGAGAAUGAGACUGAUUUAGGAAGUAGACUUCCAAGCCCGAUUUGCUGCUGCCUACUCCCUGCUGCUAAAGGUCAGAUCAGAGAGAGAAGACAAGCAAACCUUGAACUGACACUACUGAUUCACAGCCUUAACAUUGUGGAGACAAGAAUGCCUCCAGAUAGGACUCUAAGGACGUCCUGCGCGUGGCCCUUACAAACUCCCCACUGCUUGCUGAGAUGGAUUAAAAGAUGCAAACUCACUGAAAUACGCCAAGGAAUAUAAUGGUCUCUACAGAAGAUCUGGCUGUGUCAACCAACAAAAAGUUCCAGCUGUGGCAGCCGUGUGGAACAAAGGGAACUCUUGGCUUAAUGUGGAGUACAUGCUUCUGACGUUCCAGUUCAGGCAAGAAAUAAAUAAAGCUAUUACAAAGCCCUUGACCA